Molecule: ribosomal RNA, 548 nt
Filed under: uncultured bacterium
Lineage: Bacteria
Description: bacterial SSU rRNA
Rfam family: Bacterial small subunit ribosomal RNA
Source: RNAcentral
UGGGGAAUUUUGGACAAUGGGCGAAAGCCUGAUCCAGCCAUGCCGCGUGUCUGAAGAAGGCCUUCGGGUUGUAAAGGACUUUUGUCAGGGAGGAAAUCCCUAGCGUUAAUACCGCUGGGGGAUGACAGUACCUGAAGAAUAAGCACCGGCUAACUACGUGCCAGCAGCCGCGGUAAUACGUAGGGUGCGAGCGUUAAUCGGAAUUACUGGGCGUAAAGCGUGCGCAGGCGGUUUGAUAAGCCAGAUGUGAAAUCCCCGAGCUCAACUUGGGAACUGCGUUUGGAACUGUCAGACUAGAGUGCGUCAGAGGGGGGUGGAAUUCCGCGUGUAGCAGUGAAAUGCGUAGAGAUGCGGAGGAACACCGAUGGCGAAGGCAGCCCCCUGGGAUGACACUGACGCUCAUGCACGAAAGCGUGGGGAGCAAACAGGAUUAGAUACCCUGGUAGUCCACGCCCUAAACGAUGUCAAUUAGCUGUUGGGGGUUAGAAUCUCUGGUAGCGUAGCUAACGCGUGAAAUUGACCGCCUGGGGAGUACGGCCGCAAGGUUA